GAUGAACGCUGGCGGCGUGCCUAAUACAUGCAAGUCGAGCGAACGGACGAGAAGCUUGCUUCUCUGAUGUUAGCGGCGGACGGGUGAGUAACACGUGGAUAACCUACCUAUAAGACUGGGAUAACUUCGGGAAACCGGAGCUAAUACCGGAUAAUAUUUUGAACCGCAUGGUUCAAAAGUGAAAGACGGUCUUGCUGUCACUUAUAGAUGGAUCCGCGCUGCAUUAGCUAGUUGGUAAGGUAACGGCUUACCAAGGCAACGAUGCAUAGCCGACCUGAGAGGGUGAACGGCCACACUGGAACUGAGACACGGCACAGACUCUUACGGGAGGCAGAAGUAGGGAAUCGUCCGCAAUGGGCGAAAGCCUGACGGAGCAACGCCGCGUGAGUGAUGAAGGUCUUCGGAUCGUAAAACUCUGUUAUUAGGGAAGAACAUAUGUGUAAGUAACUGUGCACAUCUUGACGGUACCUAAUCAGAAAGCCACGGCUAACUACGUG
Molecule: ribosomal RNA, 497 nt
Filed under: uncultured bacterium
Lineage: Bacteria
Description: partial 16S ribosomal RNA
Rfam family: Bacterial small subunit ribosomal RNA
Source: RNAcentral